This is a non-coding RNA of Phrynosoma platyrhinos (Desert horned lizard), 70 nucleotides long. The record is from the annotation of a GenBank genome assembly. Lineage: Eukaryota; Metazoa; Chordata; Lepidosauria; Squamata; Phrynosomatidae.
GUAUGUGGUGUAGUGGUUUGAGUGCUAGACUAGAACUCUGGAGACCACGGUUCAAAUCCUGGCUGAGCCA